GUGUCAGCAGCCGCGGUAAUACGGAGGGUGCAAGCGUUAUCCGGAUUCACUGGGUUUAAAGGGUGCGUAGGUGGGCAGGUAAGUCAGUGGUGAAAUCCUGUAGCUUAACUACAGAACUGCCAUUGAUACUAUUUGUCUUGAAUACCCUGGAGGUGAGCGGAAUAUGUCAUGUAGCGGUGAAAUGCUUAGAUAUGACAUAGAACAUCUAUUGCGAAGGCAGCUCACUACGGGAAUAUUGACGCUGAGGCACGAAAGCGUGGGGAUCAAACAGGAUUAGAUACCCUGGUAGUCC
RNAcentral lists this ribosomal RNA (292 nucleotides) under uncultured bacterium. RNAcentral's name for it is "partial 16S ribosomal RNA". It matches the Rfam family "Bacterial small subunit ribosomal RNA", at positions 505 to 796 of the family's 1533-position model. The record is from RNAcentral.